GGCUGCUGGCUGGGCUGGGCCGGACCGGGCUGGGGCCUGUGCCCGCGGUCAUGACCCCGCCGACCGGGCCCCGCGCCCAGCGGCUCAGGAGGCGUCGCCCUUCCGCCGCGGCGCCCCUCGGCCCGCCCGGCCCGCUCCCUUCCAGCUCGGAGCCGCGAGGACUCGGCGCCUAGGGAAGGAAUGCGUUAUCCAGAAGUGAAGGACUCCACUUUGAAGGUGGGGAUGUCUGUCCCCUUCCUGGGACGCCGAUGCUCCCUCGAAGGUCUCUGGUCCGGAUUGACGCUCUGUGUCUUCUUUCAAACCCUCUUCUACUUGGUGUACGUCUGGAGGAUGAACUGGACCAGAGCGGCAGAGCAGGAGCAACUUGGAAUAGGUAGAAGAAGGAAUGAGUGAACCUGAAGAUGGGACUCUGCUGACACCAGCUGUGUGUCUACAACUCAGUUCAGGUCAGUUCUGAACCCAAGUUAGGAGCAUCAGAUGCCACAAGCUGAAGGGCAGUGUCCUCAGCAGACUGCGCUCCCUUUAGGUACCAGCCACAAGUGGGAUGCCAGGAUACCCACACUUCUGCCCGGCUGGCUAGACUAUAAAUUUGGCAUUUCCCAUAGCCUCCUCCCUUCUGUACGUGGCUAGGGUGUGUGACAGAACACACUGAAAAUCCUAUACUUAUGAUUAUGAAUUUUAUAAAAGAAACAACUGAGGAACACCAGAUACGGUAAGUAAGGCAAGGUCUGGGGGCCAGAGAUGAUGCAGAGCUUCCAGGCCCUCUCCUCGCGGGGUCUGGGCCUAUCACCCUCCCAGCCUAUCGAGUGUUCACCAAGCAGGAAGCUCCCCUGGGUUUUAUAGUCCAGAAUUUUUAUAUGGAGUUUUAUUAUUGAUAGAUAGAUAUGAUUGAUUACACCAUUGACCAUGUGAUUGAACUCACUCUCUAGCCUCUCUCGGGGAGAUCAGGGAGGUGAGGCUGAAAUUUCCAACCCUCUACAUGUGUGGUUGGUUUUUUAGUGACCAGCCCCCAUCCUGCAGCUAUCUAAGGGCCCCUGCAUGUGUCACCUCAUGCUACAAACACUCCUAUCGCUCAGGAAAGUCCAAACGUUUUUAAAGCUGUGUGCCAGGAACUGGGGGUCAGAAUCCAGAUAUACUCUUUAUUAUAUCAGAAUAGGUCACUUGAGAUUAGCCAGUAUGAGGAGCAGAAAGGAAAAAAAGGAUUGAAGAAAAAUAAGCAGAGCCUAAAGACCUAUAAGACACCAUCCAGUGUAGCCACAUAUUCAUAAUGGGAGCACCAGAAGAGGACAAAAGGAGAAGGAAUAUUUGAAAAAGGUCAGAAACUUCCCCAAGUCGAUGAAAUACUUGGAUCUACAAAUCCAGUAACCUCAAUUAGCUCAAAGCAAGAUAAAUUCAGAGAGAUCCACACUGAGAGGUAGUAUAAUCAAGUCGUACAAAGGGAGAAUUUUUUUUUUAUUUAUUUAUUUUUUUUUGGCGGUACAAGGGCCUCUCACUGUUGUGGCCUCUCCCGUUGCAGAGCACAGGCUCCGGACGCGCAGGCCCAGCGGCCAUGGCUCACGGGCCCAGCUGCUCCGCAGCAUGUGGGAUCUUCCCGGACCGGGGCACGAACCCGUGUCCCCUGCAUCGGCAGGCCGAUUCUCAACCACUGCGCCACCAGGGAAGCCCACAAAGGGAGAAUUUUGAAAGCAGGAAAGAAGUGACUCAUCAUGUAGAAGGGAGUCCUCAGUAAGACUGACAGCCACUUUCCCAUCAAAUACCAUGGAGGCCAGAAGAUGGGGGGAUGACAGAUUUAAAGUUCUGAAAGAAAAAACUGUCAACCAGAAAUCCUUUAUUUGGCAGAACAAUCCAGAGGACAGGAAUAUUAAAACACUCCCAGAUAAACAAGAGCUGAGAAAAUGUGUCACUAGUAGGCCUGCACUAUAAGAAAUGCAAAGGGGGGGAGUCUUUUAGGUUGAAAUGAAGGGGCCUUAGGUAAUAAUACAAAGCAAUGUGAAGAAAUGAAAAUCACUGAUAAAAGUAGCUACAUAGUCAAAUAUAAAAGCCAAUAUUAUUAUUAUAUUUGUCUCUCCCUUUGUUCUCUAUAAUUUAAAAGAUAAAUAUAAAAUUAUAAUUAUAGGGAAUUCCCUGGCAGUCCAGUGGUUAGGACUCUGUGCUUCCUCUCCCAAGGGCCCUGGUUUGAUCCCUGGUCAGGGAACUAAAAUCCCACAAGCCACACGGUGGAGCCAAAAAAAAAAAAGUUAUAAUUAUAAACAUAAUAGGCACACAAUAUAUAAAGAUUUAAUUUGUGACAAUAACAUAAAGGAGGGACUCAGGUCUAUUUAGGAGCGGAGUUUUUGUAUAUAGCCAUAUGUUGGACAUACUGCAGGUUCAGUUCCUGACCACCACGAUAAAGUAGGUUUCUUAAGUGAGUCUCACAUGACUUUUUUGGUUUCCCAGUGCAUAUAAAAGUUAUGUUUACACUACUGUAGUCUAAUUAAGUAUGCUACAGCAUUAUGUCUAAAAAAAAACUAUGUACAUCUUAAUUUAAAAAUACUUUAUUGCUAAAAAAAUGCCAAAACAAUUACAAUAGUACCAUCAAAGAUCACAGGUCAGAGAUCACCAUAACAAAUAUAAUAAUUAUUAAAAAGUUUGAAAUAUUGCAAGAAUUACUAAAAUGUGACGCAGAGAUGCCAAGCGAGCAAAUGCUGUUGGAAAAAUGGUGCCAAUAGGCUUGCUCGAUGCAGGGUUGGCACAAACCUUCAAUUUGUACAAAGCACAGUAAAAUGAGAUAGAAACUAAGUUGGGGGCUUCCCUGGUGUCACGGUGGUUAAGAAUCCGCCUGCCAAUGCAGGGCACACGGGUUCGAGCCCUGGUCUGGGAAGAUCCCACAUGCUGCGGAGCAACUAAGCCCGUGCGCCACAACUACUGAGCCUGUGUGCCACAACCACUGAUGCUCAUGUGCCUAGAGCCUGUGCUCCACAACAAAAGAAGCCACUGCAAAGAGAAGUCUGCACACUGCAACAAAGAGUAGCCCCCGCUUGCCGCAACUAGAGAAAGCCCACGCACAGCAAUGACCCAAUGCAGCCAAAAGUAAAAUUAAUUAAUUAAUUAAUUAAUUAAUUUUUAAAAACUGAGUUGGUAUUAAUUCAAACUAGAUUGUUGUAAAUUUAAUGUGUUAAUUGUAAGCCCCAGUGUAGCCACUAAGAAAAAACUAAAAAAUCUACAGAAAAAGAAAAUGAAGAGGGAAUCAAACAGUAUAUGAAGAAAAAAUUAGUUCAACACAAAAGAAGGCAGUAAUGGAUGAACUGAGGGACAAGAAAGACACACGGCAUAUGGGAAACAAAUAGUAAAAUAACAGAAGUCCUUUAUUAUCAGUAAUUAGUUUACAUGUAAAUGAAUUAAACUCUCCAAUUAAAAGGCAGCAAUUGGCAGAAUGGAUAAAGAAACAUGAUCCAACUAUAUGCAGCCUAUAGGAGACUCUAGGUACAAAGACAAAUAGGUUGAAAGUGAAAGGAUGGAAAAAGAUAUUCCGUGCAAAUUGCAACCAAAAGAGAACUGGAGUGGCUACACUUGCAUCAGACAAAAAAGACUUUAGGUCACACUGGUACAGGAGUCAAUGAGGACACUAUAUGUUGAUAAAGGUCAAUCCAUCAGGGGGUAAAACAACUGUAAACAUAUACUCACCCAGCAACAGAGCCUGAUCAAAAUUAGCAUCACUGGAGAAGGAAAUAAACAGUUCUACAAUAAUACUUGGGGACUGCAAUACCCCACGUUCUAUGAUGGGUGGGACAGCUAAACAGAAGAUCCGUAAGGAAACAGAGGAUUUGAACAACACUCUAAAGCUGACAGACACAUCAGUCCUUCACCCAACAAUGGCAGAGUAUACACUCUUCUCAAGUUCACGUAGAAUAUUCUCCUGGAUAGACCAUAAGUUAGGCCUUAAAACAAUUCUUUUUUUAAUUUUAAUUUUAUUUAUUUAUCUUUGGCUGUGUUGGGUCUUCGUUGCCGCACGCGGGCUUUCUCUAGUUGCGGCGAGUGGGGGCGACUCUUCGUUGCAGUGCGCAGGCUUCUCAUCGCGGUGGCUUCUCUUGUUGCGGAGCACGGGCUCUAGGUGCUCAGGCUUCAGUAGUUGUGGCGCACAGGCUUAGUUGCUCCGCGGCCUUUGGGAUCUUCCUGGACCAGGGCUCGAACCCGUGGCAGGCAGAUUCUUAACCACUGUGUCACCAGGGAAGCCCCAAACAAUUCUUAGUUAAAUAGAUUGAAAUCAUACAAAGUAUCUUCCCUGACAACAAUGAAAUGAACCUAGAAAUCAAUAACAGAAGGAAAAGUUGAAAAUUCAAAAAUGUGUGGAAAUUAAACAACACAGCCUUAAACAACCAAUGGUCCAAAGCAGUAGACACAAGGGAAAUUAGAAAAUAGUUUGAGACAAGUUAAACAACACACCAGGACUUAACGGCAUGAAAGCAGUUCUCAGAGAGCUCUUUAUAGCUGUAAAUAUCUUUAUUAAAAAGACAAAAGAUCUUAAAUCAACAGCUUAACUUUACACCUCAAGGAACUAGAAAAAGAAAAGCAAACUAAAUUCAAAGCCAACAGAAGGAAGGAAAUAAUAAAGGCUAGAGCCAAGAUAGACAAAUAGAGAACAGAAAAACUAGAAUCAACAACACCAAAAGUUGUUUCUUCUUUGAAAAGAUAUGAAAAUUGACAAACCUUUAGCUAGACUGAAUAUGAAAAAAAAAGAGAAAAUACACAAAUUAAUAAAAUCAGAUAUGGAAGUAGGGACAUUGCUGUUGACCUUGUAGAAAUGGAUUUCAAAGGAAUACUAUGAAUAAUUAAACGGCAACAAAUUAGAUAGCCUAGAUAAAAUGGAAAAUUCCUAGAACAGAUCAACUACCAAAACUAACUCAAGAAGAAAUAGAAAAUCUGGAAGGACUUAUAACAAUUAAAGAGGUUGAAUCAGUAAUAAAACAAACCUCCCGUUAAAAAAAAGAAAGAAAAAGGACCAGAUUGUUUCACUGGUGAAUUCUGCUGCACAUUUAAAGAAGAAUUAACAGCAGUCGUUCUCAAAGUCUUUGAAAAGAAUGGAAGAGGAUGGCAUCCUUCCCAACUAAUUCUGUGAAGUCAGCAUAUUACCGUGAUAUCAAAACCAGACAAAGACGUCACAAGGAAACUAGAGGCCAGUAUCCCUUACGGAUAUUGGUGCAGAGGUCCUCAAGAGAACACUAGCCAGCUAAAUCCAGUAGCAUGUUGGAAGCAUGCACACCAUUUACCAAGUGAGAUUUGUCUCAGAAAUGCAACACACAAAAAUUAAUUGAUAUAAUAUAUCACAUUAGGGACUUCCCUGGUGGUCCAGAGGUUAAGACUCCAGGCUUCCAUUGCAGGGGGCGUGGGUUCAAUCUCUGGUCGGGCAACUAAGAUCCCACAUGCUAUACGGCACGGCCAAAAAAAAUGAAAUUAAAAUUUUAAAAAUCAAAAAACAACAACAAAAAAACUUGGAAGGCUCAGGAAGUGCCUGGAAACCCAACCUUGAGAUGACCUCUCCAAGGUUGUUGGCUUGCAGAUUAAGAACCACUAAGUAAAGGGAGAGGCUCUCAGGGUCUCUGGGAUAAAG
Long non-coding RNA from Physeter macrocephalus (sperm whale), 5587 nucleotides. RefSeq lists it as uncharacterized. Lineage: Eukaryota; Metazoa; Chordata; Mammalia; Artiodactyla; Physeteridae. The record is from RefSeq and is a predicted model, not a curated record. The transcript is spliced from 4 exons.